CUGGCGGCGUGCUUAACACAUGCAAGUCGAACGGAACUCUUUGGAAAGCGGCUUCGGCCAAUGGAAGUUAAGUUUAGUGGCGAACGGGUGAGUAACGCGUGAGGAACCUGCCUCUCAGUGGGGGGACAACAGUUGGAAACGACUGCUAAUACCGCAUAACAUGUACGGAUCGCAUGGUCUGUACAUCAAAGCUUUAUGUGCUGAGAGAUGGCCUCGCGUCUGAUUAGAUAGUUGGUGAGGUAACGGCUCACCAAGUCGACGAUCAGUAGCCGGUCUGAGAGGAUGAACGGCCACAUUGGGACUGAGAUACGGCCCAGACUCCUACGGGAGGCAGCAGUGGGGAAUAUUGCGCAAUGGGGGAAACCCUGACGCAGCAACGCCGCGUGAAGGAUGAAGGUUUUCGGAUCGUAAACUUAUGUCUUCGGGGACGAGAACGGACGGUACCCGAGGAGGAAGCCACGGCUAACUACGUG
Molecule: ribosomal RNA, 473 nt
Filed under: uncultured bacterium
Lineage: Bacteria
Description: bacterial SSU rRNA
Rfam family: Bacterial small subunit ribosomal RNA
Source: RNAcentral